RNAcentral lists this transfer RNA (81 nucleotides) under Gammaproteobacteria bacterium. RNAcentral describes it as "tRNA-Asn". Lineage: Bacteria; Pseudomonadati; Pseudomonadota; Gammaproteobacteria. The record is from RNAcentral.
UUAGGCGGCAGGCAGAUGGGUUGGCCGCCCGGCUGAUUAUUAAUCAGCCGGUCGCGGGUUCGAGUCCCAUCGCCAGAUCCA